Molecule: ribosomal RNA, 480 nt
Filed under: uncultured bacterium
Lineage: Bacteria
Description: bacterial SSU rRNA
Rfam family: Bacterial small subunit ribosomal RNA
Source: RNAcentral
GGCCUAACACAUGCAAGUCGAGGGGCAGCACAAGGAGCAAUCUGAGGUGGCGACCGGCGCACGGGUGAGUAACACGUAUGCAACCUGCCUGUAAGCGGGGAAUAACCCGUUGAAAGACGGACUAAUACCGCAUAAUACUAAAUUACUGCAUGGUAAUUUAUUUAAACAUUUAUGGCUUACAGAUGGGCAUGCGCAUGAUUAGCUAGUUGGAGAGGUAACGGCUCCCCAAGGCAACGAUCAUUAGGGGUUCUGAGAGGAAGGUCCCCCACACUGGUACUGAGACACGGACCAGACUCCUACGGGAGGCAGCAGUGAGGAAUAUUGGUCAAUGGACGAGAGUCUGAACCAGCCAAGUCGCGUGCAGGAAGAAUGUUCCCUAUGGAUUGUAAACUGCUUUUGCAGGGGAAUAAAGUGCAUCACGUGUGAUGUUUUGUAUGUACUCUGCGAAUAAGGAUCGGCUAACUCCGUGCCAGCCGCCGC